Molecule: transfer RNA, 76 nt
Filed under: Halobacillus litoralis
Lineage: Bacteria; Bacillati; Bacillota; Bacilli; Caryophanales; Bacillaceae
Also listed under: 7 other names
Description: tRNA-Thr
Rfam family: tRNA
About the family: Transfer RNA (tRNA) molecules are approximately 80 nucleotides in length.
Source: RNAcentral
GCCGGCCUAGCUCAACUGGUAGAGCAACUGAUUUGUAAUCAGUAGGUUGGGGGUUCAAGUCCUCUGGCCGGCACCA